ACUCUAUGAAUACAUCAGUAUCUCUGACUUCCAAUCAGAAAGUCUUAGUGAAAGCCUAAGAUAGAGUA
Molecule: transfer RNA, 68 nt
Filed under: Aspidodiadema arcitum
Lineage: Eukaryota; Metazoa; Echinodermata; Echinoidea; Aspidodiadematoida; Aspidodiadematidae
Description: tRNA-Gly
Source: RNAcentral